Molecule: ribosomal RNA, 458 nt
Filed under: uncultured bacterium
Lineage: Bacteria
Description: SSU rRNA
Rfam family: Bacterial small subunit ribosomal RNA
Source: RNAcentral
AGAAUCAACGCUGGCGGCGUGCCUAACACAUGCAAGUCGCACGAGAAAGGGGAGCAAUCCCUGAGUACAGUGGCGCACGGGUGAGUAACACGUGAAUCAUCUACCUCCGAGUGGGGAAUAACUGAGAGAAAUCUUAGCUAAUACCGCAUAACACUUACGAGUCAAAGCAGCAAUGCGCUUGGAGAGGAGUUCGCGGCAGAUUAGUUAGUUGGCGGGGUAAUGGCCCACCAAGACGAUGAUCUGUAUCCGGCCUGAGAGGGCGCACGGACACACUGGAACUGAAACACGGUCCAGACUCCUACGGGAGGCAGCAGUGGGGAAUUUUGCGCAAUGGGGAAACCCUGACGCAGCAACGCCGCGUGGAGGAUGAAGCCCCUUGGGUGUAAACUCCUUUCGAUCGGGAAGAUAAUGACGGUACCGAUAUAAGAAGCCCCGGCUAACUUCGUGCCAGCAGCCGC